Callithrix jacchus (white-tufted-ear marmoset) is the source of this 1274-nucleotide long non-coding RNA. RefSeq lists it as uncharacterized. The record is from RefSeq and is a predicted model, not a curated record. Lineage: Eukaryota; Metazoa; Chordata; Mammalia; Primates; Cebidae.
GGCAGGUCAGAGUUAUCUCUUCUCUCUGUCUGUUCUGAGGAACUAGCUUCCAGAAUGGGAAAGGUAUAGGGUGGUACCAGGUGAUAUUGAGGCACAGAGUUGCCUGAAGUGUCCUGAGAAGAUUCCUUUGUAUUAUUUACAGAAUGAAGGAGGAUAGAGGGGGAAGUUCAGGACUCUAAGAUAUCUCCCCCUUUGCCAAGUGUCUGAAGAUCACAGAUAAAGGAAGAGGCCUGGUGGGAAGUUGGAAUGAUGGAAAGUGUUGCCAGAAACAUCUGAGAGGAAGGAAGUCAAAGAGGCACACAGGAGCCACAGAGAAGAGUGAAAGUCAGAAGUCAGUCCUUGGGAUGAAGGUAUCAAAGAUUUAUUAAAGCUUAUGUGCCUUAAUCCCAGAGGAAAGGAAGAAGAAUGAGCGAACAUUCACUGAAACAGAAGGCAACAUCAUCCAGUGCCUCUGUACUUCCUCUUACACAGUCUUCCAUGCACUCAAAAAUUGCUAAGCAGGCCAGCAAAGCUAUGGAGACAAUAAAUAGAUCAAAUGGUGAUUGCCAGAGGUAUUUUAUGGAGAGCUAGAUGUUCAUCAAAGAAUAUUAUGAAGAGAGAGGACCAUGGCUGGACAGAGAGAUAAAAACAGCAAGUUUUCCAAUUAAACAAAUUAAGAAAGUUACCAAAGCCAUGCACAUACUAAUGGCCCGUUCCAAUCAAAAGACUCAAUCCUCUCCAAUUGUAAGAGUAUGCUUUUAAUACUCAAUUUUAAUGAAAUUCAAGCCAGGCUUUUCAUUGCUCAAUCUCUUUAACCAGGUGCCAAAAAUCUGGCCAAAUGUAUGGAAGCAGAUUCUUCUUCUUUGAACCACCACAAGGACUUUGAUGUUUAUGCCGAGUAGAAGGAAUCUAGCUUGAUUACCCUCUUUUCCAAAGGACCAUCCCUUUCUUGGUAGAGUAUUCUGCCUGAUUUAUCCAGCUUGGAAGGACACCAUGAACUUGGCCUUCCAAACCUACUUAUUAAAAAUCCCUUCCCUUUUUUGGUCAGCCUUAAAGAGUCACAAAGAUUCUCACACAACAAACUAAUUAACUACUGCAUUUUUUUUCUGAAAAAUAAUCAUGUUUAAGAUAAUGCAAAUAUACUUUUUAUUGGCAUUUUCUGUUUAUUAUUACACCUUUUAAAAAGCAACAAAACUAAAAUUCUAACCCUUUGACACUAGAUUUUAUAAUUUGAAAAAUGAGUUUGCCUUGUGCUUCUAAAUCCACCUGAUGUUUCUUCUGACAAACUUUUCACA